Molecule: transfer RNA, 91 nt
Filed under: Shewanella putrefaciens
Lineage: Bacteria; Pseudomonadati; Pseudomonadota; Gammaproteobacteria; Alteromonadales; Shewanellaceae
Description: tRNA-Ser
Source: RNAcentral
GCAAAGUCACACCUGAAUCUGGUGAUGGCCAAAUCAAUAAUAAAUAACGAAUACGAUCAAGGGCUGCCAGUGGUUGAGCGGUAACACGGGC